AGCCUUAAGAUAAUAUUUAAGGUAAUGCCUGCCCAGUGCUAAAUAUUGUAAAUGGCCGCAGUACCUUGACUGUGCUAAGGUAGCAUAAUCAGUUGGCUUUUAAAUGGAGUCUGGAAUGAAUGGAUUUAUAAGGUUAAGCUGUCUCUUUUAUAUUUUAUUGAAUUUAAUUAUUUAGGUGAAAAUACCUAAUUAUUGAUAAAAGACGAGAAGACCCUAGGAGUUUUAACUAGUAUCAAUAUUAAAUUGCUUGUGUUUUUGUUGGGGCGACAUAGGAACAUAUCAACUUCCUUAAUUUUAUAUACCGACUUAAUGUAUAAAUAAUUAAACUACCCUAGGGAUAACAGCGUUAUUCUUUUUAGAGCUUGCGACCUCGAUGUUGGACUAGGAAUUUAAUUGGCUAGCCGCCAAUUUCUAUUGUUCUGUUCGAACUUAAUUUCCUACAU
Molecule: ribosomal RNA, 443 nt
Filed under: Elysia pratensis
Lineage: Eukaryota; Metazoa; Mollusca; Gastropoda; Plakobranchidae
Description: partial 16S ribosomal RNA
Rfam family: Bacterial large subunit ribosomal RNA
Source: RNAcentral